Long non-coding RNA from Aedes aegypti (yellow fever mosquito), 140 nucleotides. RefSeq lists it as uncharacterized. The record is from RefSeq and is a predicted model, not a curated record. The transcript is spliced from 3 exons. Lineage: Eukaryota; Metazoa; Arthropoda; Insecta; Diptera; Culicidae.
UUGACUGGACUUUGAUGAUGAUAAUUGGAUUUCGGCUUUCAGUCACGAAUUAAGCGUUGAUUAUUUUAAAUCAUUGCCAACGUUUCGAUCCAGAGCCCUGAAGAAGAUCCCAACAACUGGAUCGAAACGUGGGCAAUGAU